RNAcentral lists this ribosomal RNA (871 nucleotides) under Agaricus sp. ZRLWXH3076. RNAcentral's name for it is "eukaryotic LSU rRNA". It matches the Rfam family "Eukaryotic large subunit ribosomal RNA", at positions 71 to 928 of the family's 3401-position model. Lineage: Eukaryota; Fungi; Basidiomycota; Agaricomycetes; Agaricales; Agaricaceae. The record is from RNAcentral.
AGGAUUCCCCUAGUAACUGCGAGUGAAGCGGGAAAAGCUCAAAUUUAAAAUCUGGCGGUCUCUGGCCGUCCGAGUUGUAAUCUAGAGAAGUAAUGCCCGUGCUGGACCGUGUAUAAGUCUCCUGGGAUGGGGCGUCAUAGAGGGUGAGAAUCCCGUCUUUGACACGGACUACCAGUGCAUUGUGGUAUGCUCUCAAAGAGUCGAGUUGUUUGGGAAUGCAGCUCAAAAUGGGUGGUAAAUUCCAUCUAAAGCUAAAUAUUGGCGAGAGACCGAUAGCGAACAAGUACCGUGAGGGAAAGAUGAAAAGAACUUUGGAAAGAGAGUUAAACAGUACGUGAAAUUGCUGAAAGGGAAACGCUUGAAGUCAGUCGCGUUGGCCGGGAAUCAGCCUUGCUUUUGCUUGGUGUACUUUCUGGUUUGACGGGUCAGCAUCAAUUUUGACCGCUGGAAAAGGACCUGGGGAAUGUGGCAGCUUCGGCUGUGUUAUAGCCCCUAGUCGCAUACAGUGGUUGGGAUUGAGGAACUCAGCACGCCGCAAGGCCGGGUUUCGACCACGUUCGUGCUUAGGAUGCUGGCAUAAUGGCUUUAAGCGACCCGUCUUGAAACACGGACCAAGGAGUCUAACAUGCCUGCGAGUAUUUGGGUGGAAAACUCAAGUGCGUAAUGAAAGUGAAAGUUGAGAUCCCUGUCGUGGGGAGCAUCGACGCCCGGACCAGAACUUUUGGGACGGAUCCGCGGUGGAGCAUGUAUGUUGGGACCCGAAAGAUGGUGAACUAUGCCUGAAUAGGGUGAAGCCAGAGGAAACUCUGGUGGAGGCUCGUAGCGAUUCUGACGUGCAAAUCGAUCGUCAAAUUUGGGUAUAGGGGCGAAA